Molecule: long non-coding RNA, 641 nt
Filed under: Anas zonorhyncha (Eastern spot-billed duck)
Lineage: Eukaryota; Metazoa; Chordata; Aves; Anseriformes; Anatidae
Description: lncRNA (ENSAZOG00000011785.1)
Source: RNAcentral
CUCAGGAGACUAAGCAGCACAGCUCUUUCCAAUGCACUGCUGAUUAAGGCAGCUAGAAGAGUGAGGGUUUUGGGACCCGUAGGUUUUCUCUGGUUUGCAAGCAGAGGGGUUGCUAUAGCCCUUGUGUGAGGCAUUUAGUGCUAUCAAGUGGCAGUGAACCAGGGCUUUGAGAAAGAAGAAACAGAAGACGAAGGCAAAAUGAAAACAAAGCAGGGGAGGAGCAUUUCUAGACCAAAGAAGGCUGAACUAGGUUUGAAAGGGCAAUGAUGAGAAUCCACAGGUUCCUUCCAGUUGCUGCUGUAGAUGACAGCUGAUCAUCCCAAGAGGCAGCAGUGGUUGGUAGGACUUGGGCAAAGCUACUAUGCCUUCAGACAGCCUGUGGAGAUCAGCUCUGAGCAGUGCUUACACUAAAUGAAGGACUUUUCAGCUUCUCACACUGCCCUGCAAAGAGGAGGCUGGGGCUGCACAAGAAGCUGAGAGGGGACACAGCCAGAACAGCUGACCCAGAACGUACCAUAUGGUGUGCUCAGUUAAAAAAAAAAAAAUAAAAAAAAAUAUAUAUAUAUAGAAAAGGGAAAUUUGUUGUUGGUCUUGGGGGUUGUUGUGGUGAGCAAUUGCCUUGUGCAGCACUCAAAUAUUUU